Molecule: transfer RNA, 76 nt
Filed under: Oscillospiraceae bacterium
Lineage: Bacteria; Bacillati; Bacillota; Clostridia; Eubacteriales; Oscillospiraceae
Description: tRNA-Thr
Rfam family: tRNA
About the family: Transfer RNA (tRNA) molecules are approximately 80 nucleotides in length.
Source: RNAcentral
GCUUGCGUAGCUCAAUUGGUAGAGCAGCUGAUUUGUAAUCAGCAGGUCGCGGGUUCGAGUCCCAUCGCAAGCUCCA